This 75-nucleotide transfer RNA is filed under the name Bacillota bacterium. Its description in RNAcentral is "tRNA-Arg". It matches the Rfam family "tRNA". From Rfam's summary of the family: Transfer RNA (tRNA) molecules are approximately 80 nucleotides in length. The record is from RNAcentral. Lineage: Bacteria; Bacillati; Bacillota.
GCGCCCGUGGUCCAAUGGAUAGGACGCAAGCCUCCGGAGCUUGAGGUAGGGGUUCGAUUCCCUUCGGGCGCACCA